GGUGACUUCAAUGAAAUCCUUUACUCACAUGAAAAGGAAGGGGGAGCCCCAAGACCGGCGUGCAUGAUGCAAGACUUUCGAGAUGCUUUGGUGGAUUGCGAGUUGGAUGAUUUGGGGUUCUCGGGGGACCAGUUUACAUGGAGGAGAAGGAGAAUAAGAGAAAGACUUGACAGAAUGGUGUAUAAUGGCAGUUUCCAUGGUCUGUUUCCAAACGCCACUAUAACCAAUGAACCACACUUAAAAUCAGACCGUAGGCCUAUUGUGUUGGACACAGAUGGAGAAGUGGAUGCUAAUAAUCAUAGGCAUGGAGGGGUGAAAUAG
This 321-nucleotide ribosomal RNA is filed under the name Triticum aestivum (bread wheat). RNAcentral's name for it is "partial small subunit ribosomal RNA". Lineage: Eukaryota; Viridiplantae; Streptophyta; Magnoliopsida; Poales; Poaceae. The record is from RNAcentral.